GGAAUUACUGGGCGUAAGCGCACGCAGGCGGUCUGUCAAGUCGGAUGUGAAAUCCCCGGGCUCAACCUGGGAACUGCAUUCGAAACUGGCAGGCUAGAGUCUUGUAGAGGGGGGUAGAAUUCCAGGUGUAGCGGUGAAAUGCGUAGAGAUCUGGAGGAAUACCGGUGGCGAAGGCGGCCCCCUGGACAAAGACUGACGCUCAGGUGCGAAAGCGUGGGGAGCAAACAGGAUUAGAUACCCUGGUAGUCCACGCCGUAAACGAUGUCGACUUGGAGGUUGUUCCCUUGAGGAGUGGCUUCCGGAGCUAACGCGUUAAGUCGACCGCCUGGGGAGUACGGCCGCAAGGUUAAAACUCAAGGAAAUUUGACGGAGGCCCGCACAAGCGGUGGACCAUGUGGUUUAAUUCAAUGCAACGCGAAGAACCUUACCUACUCUUGACAUCCAGAGAACUUUCCACAGAUGGAUUGGUGCCUUCGGGAACUCUGAGACAGGUGCUGCAUGGCUGUCGUCAGCUCGUGUUGUGAAAUGUUGGGUUAAGUCCCGCAACGAGCGCAACCCUUAUCCUUUGUUGCCAGCGGUUCGGCCGGGAACUCAAAGGAGACUGCCAGUGAUAAACUGGAGGAAGGUGGGGAUGAC
RNAcentral lists this ribosomal RNA (636 nucleotides) under Enterobacter sp. LPPA 546. RNAcentral's name for it is "bacterial SSU rRNA". It matches the Rfam family "Bacterial small subunit ribosomal RNA", at positions 547 to 1183 of the family's 1533-position model. Lineage: Bacteria; Pseudomonadati; Pseudomonadota; Gammaproteobacteria; Enterobacterales; Enterobacteriaceae. The record is from RNAcentral.